Triticum aestivum (bread wheat) is the source of this 1214-nucleotide long non-coding RNA. RefSeq lists it as uncharacterized. The record is from RefSeq and is a predicted model, not a curated record. Lineage: Eukaryota; Viridiplantae; Streptophyta; Magnoliopsida; Poales; Poaceae. The transcript is spliced from 4 exons.
CCGGCGUGCUCUCUUGGGGCGACGCGUCGCGGUGCUCCGGUUCCGCCAAAUGACGGGAGAGGGCCAGGCGUGGAUUGGCGUAGCCAAGAGCCACGAGUUCGUCGGCGCCGGCCUCCGGAGCUGGCCUUGGCGGGCUGAAGCGUCGCGGCGGAGGGCGAUAAGGCGGCCGGCUUGCUCUCUUGGGGCGAAGCGCCGCGGCGCUCCGGCUCCGGCAGAGGGCCAGGCGUGGCUUGGCGUCGCCAAGAGCCACGAGGUCGUCGGCGCCGGCCUCCGCGCCAUGCUGGACAAGCUGUUGCUGCCUCCCUGCGCCGCCCAGCUUCAGUUCUCUGAAUCCUUAAUUUCGUGUGGUGAUUUGGACGGAAUUAAAGACCGCGUCCUUCUCCAACACAAAUCAAUGUCCAAUGUAAUCGAGUUGGAGUCUGUGUUCCUCUCUGACACAAAAGCAUGUACUGCCCGACACGGAUUGGACUUGGCUUCCAUAAGAAGGAAGGAUCCUCGACCGGAACGUCCAUUAGGCUGCCAUUGCAUUGCAACUUUCAGAGGAACGCCCAAUGUUGCCGGCGGAGGAAAAUCAUCCUUUGAGCCAUACUAUGCCGAGUUCGCCGGCAGAAGAAGAACACCCGAUGAGCUGUCCAUCGCCUGAGGCGGCUACACCAGAGGUGCCAACGGUGUCUGAUCAAACUCAGGUGGAACCAAGGAGGUUCGGCUCUCGGACAUUGCACCAAUGACGCUGGAUGAUACCGACGUGCAUACUGUUGCAAUCACGAACGAGCAGCAAAUUUUGCACUGAACUACUGGCAUAAGGCAGUGAAAUACUUUUUGCUCACGUCUGUGGAAGUUUGGAACAUAAGAAGAACAGAUAACAAAGUAUCACAUGCUUAUAGGAAUGACUCAAUAUUCUCAUGGCAGAAUGAGGAUGGGGUAUUCUGUGAUCCAACAUAUGUUCUACCAUCAGGGCUGAUGGCAUUCUUUGGCACUGCUAAGCCGCUUGAUAAAUUAUGGCAUGAGAUGGGCCUUGGAUAUAAUCCAAGCAUCAGCCCUUGGUGAUCUGUGGUGAUGCAGUGACGCACCUUACUGGAAAUAUGAACCAUAGCUUGAUGUUGCUUUCAACCUAUACAAGGCUAUGUGGAGAAAGUAUGUAGAGAUUGAAAUGGAAUUCUUGACACUAUGUAGCUUUGGUUUCUCAAGUAAUUAAAGAAAUGCUCCAAGAAUAA